This 201-nucleotide long non-coding RNA is filed under the name Carica papaya (papaya). RNAcentral's name for it is "long non-coding RNA (CPAP_LNC001346)". The record is from RNAcentral. Lineage: Eukaryota; Viridiplantae; Streptophyta; Magnoliopsida; Brassicales; Caricaceae.
UCUCUCUCUCUUUGUUGUUCUCUUCUCUUCUCUCCCUCUCCUAAGCAACACUUGCAGGGUUUUCCUUUCUAUUUCUUAGUCCAUGAAAAUCCUCCACACAACACUUGGCUUCUCCUAAGGCUAUUACCAAACUCACUCAUUGUGAUUUGGCAUGCCAUCUUUUCAGUUUCCUGUUAAUAGCUACUGGUUUUCAACAAAAGC